Molecule: long non-coding RNA, 540 nt
Filed under: Athene cunicularia (burrowing owl)
Lineage: Eukaryota; Metazoa; Chordata; Aves; Strigiformes; Strigidae
Description: lncRNA (ENSACUG00000006673.1)
Source: RNAcentral
GGCCAUUUAUGGGGCUUACACAAUCCCAAAAGAUGAAAAUACUUACUGCCUCAUUCCUGAACCUUUGAACUCUCUGUAGGCAUUAUUUUCACGAAAAAUCGUCAACCUGCCUGACUGGCCAUGGAAUAGAGCUGUGGGUGACACAUAGUGAAAGAUUUAACCCAGAACGAAGGCCGAGUUUUCUAGGCAGAAAUGGGCAGAAUUCUGGCAGUGGGAAGUGGGACCAGAAUCAUCCUUCAGACUGUGGCAAGAAGGACAGAGUAGAAGAGCAGUCACAGUAAAUAACUCGUGGACUUAAUCAUGGGAACUAAAACUGUGAUAUUCCCAUUAACCUCUUCUCUUCAGCAAGGCAUCGGUAAUGAUGAAUCCAGCCUCUAUCUUAUAACCUGUCUCCAGUUACAAGACAGGAAGAAAAUCUAAGGUUGUAUUCAAGUCAUGGACAUGAUGUACAGCAAAACCUAACAGAUGGAUGCUAGGCAUAGGCAAAGGAAGAACACAACAGGACUGCAUUGACCAUUAUCCAUCAGAAAGUUGUCUGGC